RNAcentral lists this long non-coding RNA (3299 nucleotides) under Capra hircus (goat). RNAcentral's name for it is "lncRNA (ENSCHIG00010019539.1)". Lineage: Eukaryota; Metazoa; Chordata; Mammalia; Artiodactyla; Bovidae. The record is from RNAcentral.
CCAACCUUUUCACUUAUAGAAUUUGUAAUAUCUUUUGUGCAGCAAUGACUGUAAUAGGAAAUCCAGAAAUUAUAUGAGAACUGAUUUUUUUUUUUCAAUUUUACAUGUCUGUUGUAAAUUUCCUUUUAAUAAAAGGAGUAAACCUUGUUUCUGCCUCCUCCCACUCUUUUGGCUUGGUGCUUACUCAGAGUAAGCCAACUUGCUGCAUCUUACAGUUAUGGAUAUUAACUGAGAAGGGCCCCCCUAAGAAAGCAUGUGAACAGGGAUACACCAUAGUGAAUACGGGCAAGUCCGGAGCUCCCUGUCUCAGUCUCUCCCAGCCCUCCAUCCCCUUCCAGGAUUCUCUAGUUACCUCAUCACAAAAGACAACCGACUUCUCAGCUAGAACAACAAGUUGUGCAGCGAAUCUCAGUGAUUCAGCCAAGUAGCAGAUAGGGUCACUGGCUUAAUUGGAAUCUCAGUAGCCAAGCGAACUAGGAAUCCCUUAGCCUGGGUCCAGCGACACAGAUCGAAGUGUUUCCGUGUUUUGAUAGAGAAUGAAAAUGACGCAGAGUUUAACUGACAGGAUAUUGACCACCGUCGUUUCUUUAUUACCCCAGUUUAGGUACCAGAGUCUAGGGCUCCCUUAUAUGCGCCCAGGGGCCACCAAGAUCUCCCACCUUCCCCAAAUGCGUAAAAGGCUAAAAACAGCCUUCCCCAGCUCCCCAGCUCCACGGCGUGGCUUCUUGCUGCUUUGUUUACCAUAUAAGUCACACCAGGGGUUCACUCUUUGCCCUCUCCCCUGCUUUAAAGCCGGAUGCGGUAAGAUGCUGAGAAACAUCCCCAAACUCUCGUUCAGCCCAGGUCAACCACAGAAAGCUUCACAGAUCCGGUCCCCAGCCCUAAAGAGAAACCUUGCAGAGCCCGAGCCUCUGGAUCCAGUAACCCCCAGGGAUGUCCGCUUCCCAAGAGGGAGCAGGCUUCCCAGGCAGCUUGAGAAACUUAACCGAGAUCCCAGAAACGAGAGGAGGUGCGGCUCCGGCCAGAUGGAGCUCUGAGGCGACACCCUUUUUACCUGCAAAGUUGCGAUCUUCUGGCCGAAGGGGGUUGGAGUCGAGGCCGGCGGCGCGAGUGCUCUGCCCGGUGCCAGCACGCCCGGCAAAUUCCGACGGGAUCUCCUUAGUCUUCGCCGAGUUUCCGAGCAUUCCAAGGAAAACGCACGAAGCUGGAGCCCACGCAGCUGGCACCGAACUGGGCGGAGUGAGGAUGCUCUGAGAGUGAUGCCGCGCGAGGCGGGGGAGGGGAGGGCCUGGGGCGAGGGGGAGGUGAGCUCCAGGGGAGGAGAACCUCACCCACCCCGGCCCUUAAGGACCCCUCCGGGUAAAGAGCGUUCCCACGGCUGUCAGCCGACGAACCCAGAGGAAGGCACCCCUCCCUGCAUCUCCGGUGGCGGCCUGACUCCGGGUCAGUGCAGCCCGGGUUCGGAGGGGACCACUCGGAAAGAAGCGCGUCCCACGCGCCGCUCUGCGAGGCGGUGGAGGUGGACCCGCGCGAGGGCAGGACCCGGGGAAGGGCCUCCGCCGCCCCGGGGCCAGAUGUCUGGGGUCAGCCCGUUGGGCAGGCGAGCUCACCGCAUGCCAGCUGUUAUCCAGUCCAGUGUGUGGCCAGUACCCCACCCUGUGACCCUGGAGGCGAGCCAGACACACCUCCAGGCUCCGGGCGGGCUCACCCCCCAGGCUGUCCGACUUCAGUUCGCGUCAGAACCCGGCCGCUGAUCACCCUGCUCCCACCCAAGUAACAAGACCCGCGCGGCAGGUCCCCCGACUUGAAAAAGUAGCCCCCACCCUCCUCACCCGGUAUCUCGCAAAGCUUCUCCCUCUCCGGCUCCCGGGGGUCCCGGCACCCCCUCUCGCGUCCUCAAGGUGUCAGACUUCCCCUGCAAGAGCAGGCGUCUGUGACUCGCUACUAGUGUCCACAAUGGAGACAGUCGCAACGAGUAAAUGACGAGGCGGCGUUCCACCCACCCUCAAUCCAGCUCGCUCUUUCCAACGAAAUCAGUAAGUUCCCAAAUUUUAAACAAACCCCCUCCCCUCCCCCGCCCCCCGCCAAGUGAGCACCAGCCUAGGGGCGCGAGGUCCAGUUGCUCCAGGUGCGAUGUAUUGUAUUGAGUGUUUGUGUGUGUGUGUGUGUGUGUGUGUGUGUGUGUGUGUAUGCUGGUNNNNNNNNNNNNNNNNNNNNNNNNNNNNNNNNNNNNNNNNNCAGGAUAAAAGUUAUUUUCUGGCCAUCACUGUGGUGUUCACACCUGAAAAUCAGAUUAAAGUGUUUAGAGGAAAUGUCAUAUAUAUUGGCAAAGUUGGCAAUAACUUACUUGUUGGUCACUGCGGCGCGGUGAUUCCCAGCUUGUCACUCCGGGAGGCUUGCUUGGUCACGACCCUGGGACUGGAGAGUCCAAUCUGUAAAAUAGAGAGUGGAGUCCACGCGGAAUCCUAGCUAGCGAUUACUCGGCUUGAGACCCUUGGUUCUACUGGAUUCCGUUUCAUUUCCCAAAAGCCCUGGGGUGAGCCACUGGUCUCCAGUCGCAUCUCAGCAGAUGCUUCUCUGGCUUUGCGCUUGUGCAACAGGAGUGGCCACUCUUUCUCCCCGUCCCAGCCACGCGUUGUUACACCUUCUGGGAAUCAGGGCUCUGACGACUGCGGGGAGGCGGACCAUUUUCUUCCCAAGAAAUAUUCCCCCAAGGGAGUUAAGGGUAGGCGGCAAGCUGGACCCACGCAGCCUCCAAAGCCCAAAAUUAAGAGAAUUUCCUUCUUGGCUGUCUUAUUUUCUACUUAUUUNNNNNNNNNNNNNNNNNNNNNNNNNNNNNNNNNNNNNNNNNNNNNNNNNNNNNNNNNNNNNNNNNNNNNNNNNNNNNNNNNNNNNNNNNNNNNNNNNNNNNNNNNNNNNNNNUUAAUCACUUUUCUUAUUCCUAAAUGUUUCUUUCUCUCUAGUUUACAGCUCUUCUCAUGGGUUUAUCCUAAGCCCAGCGUUGACUUCUGUUGUAAAUUUCUAAGUCGUCUCCUCCCCCAUAUGAAUACCCAGUUGGCCAGAGGCAAAGGUAGUUCCUACAGUAUCUCUCCAGAAAACAAGUGUACAAACAACAGGGGGAUUCUUUUCUUUCCUUGAAUCUUUCUUAUUUUACUUCUUUACCACAAAAGUACUUUAAUAUCUUUAAACACUUUGUAGAAUGUUUUCAUGCUAAACAGUGAUGAAAUAUGCAGGAAUACGUGUAUCUGUCAAAGAAAUAGAGGAAAACAACAGAAUGGGAACGACUAGAGAUCUCUUCA